CUUAAGCUGGGGGUGAGCAGUGGUUAGUUCACCCUUAACCUAGAAGUCUUUGCUAUUUCUAGGGGAGGCUAGGGGCUUAGGGGAGAAGCCUAGGAGGACGUCUUUCUACAAAUUACCCUUGAAUAGAUGCAGUCUUAAUCAUGUAUUCUGAACCCAAGGUCUCCCUCAAUAAAAAAUAAGAAAGGAUUGCAAGAUCAAAAAGUCAACUGGUCUCUCAAGCCCCUAAUAAACUUUGUAGCUGUCUCAGACACUUUUAGUUUAAAAAAAAACAAAAAAACAAAAAACAAGGUUAAACCCCUGGCCAGGUUCUUGCCUCCCAAGUACAGAUAACUGACGCGGGCUGCGUGUGGGAACUCGUCUCCUCUUUGUAUUUUUCAAUUCUUUGCCGGGUUGUAGCAGUUUCCUCUACCUGAGUCCAGCCGCCAAACACAACAGCUUCUUCCUUCCUCCACCCUUCUCUCCUACCAAACUCAGCUUCUUGGAACCCACCCAGAACACCAUUCAGAUGCAAGUGAGUGACGCUUUUAAAGGGCGGCGGGUCUUCUAGGAGUGAAAGGAAUCGGAAAGUCCGGGUUGCGAAGUGAUUUCUAAAGCAACCACAACCGUGUCCUCACGUCUGAGAUUGUUCGGUUGGUCAGAAAGUUCGUUCGGAUUUUUCCAGGAGAUCCUACGGAAAAGCCCAAACGAGCUUUUUGGUCAACCCAGUAUUUCGGCAUUUCUCUGCUCCCUUUUGCAACUUGAAAUUUACCUAACAGUGUGCUCCUGAGCAAGGUGAUGGAAGUUAAAACAGGAUGCACAGGCUGUUACAUCUGAAACAAAGGGUCUUUAACUGCCCUCCCUAUCCUCCUUUUGUUCUGGAACAAAGUUACACAUUUUACUGGAAAGUAAUCUCCGGUUCUAACAGUGCCCAACAGCAAUUGUGCACUACAGUUUUCUUAGGCAUUUAUGCUACAGGUCGAAUGCCCCCACUACUGAAUUGGAGAAGAUGGAGAAGAGGGAAAGAAAAAUUAGGUCAAGGCACCGUAGAACUGCGGGGCAAAUAGUGAGAGGGCAGGCGUCCGCUGUAGUAGCGUCGAAGCGUGAAAAAAAUACGACGGAGUCCCCGAGGGAAGAGAACCCGGAGCUGUGAGCGCCAUCCUCCUGUGGACAGUAGGCGGCGGCUUUAAAAGACUGAGCCCGGGAGAAGAAUUUCCAAUAAACAGCCUAAAGGCGGAGCCUGGGAGAAGACAGAAAGUUACACUCGCGCUGCUCUGAUAAAGGGGGUUCGGCUGCCCCCAAGCCCCAGAAUCUCGUCCUGGGUGAUGUUUUUGUUGUCAGUUUCACUCUUGGUAGUCUUCUCCUUAGAGCUGAGAAGUGGCUCAUAAGCCACCCAAGAUUUGUGUGUGUCCUUUAACAGCUUAGGAGAGAGACGAAGACCAAAAUUACUUAAAGGAAAACACCUGUGUGGUAGCCGAAUGUCCCGGCGGGGCGGCUCAGCAAGCUCGCCUCCCAGGUGCAGUUCCUCGCAGGGGGGAAGUCAGGCAGCCCCCAAAACUUCUGCGAAGGCGCACGCUUCCUGGCCCCAUUGCCCCUCCCACCUCGAGCACACGAUUUUAAUCCUUCCUCGAGGAUGCUUACGGUGAGGCGACGCUCGCUCAAUUUCACUAUGCUCCUAAACCGACACAUUUUUAGAGUUUGGAAAUUUCACAGUCUGUUUCUGACCCUUUUAAUUCAAUUUAAUAAAUACUUACUGAGCAUUUUCUAUUAAU
RNAcentral lists this long non-coding RNA (1748 nucleotides) under Bos taurus (domestic cattle). Its description in RNAcentral is "long non-coding RNA NONBTAT030696". The record is from RNAcentral. Lineage: Eukaryota; Metazoa; Chordata; Mammalia; Artiodactyla; Bovidae.